Molecule: long non-coding RNA, 2060 nt
Organism: Bos indicus x Bos taurus (hybrid cattle)
Lineage: Eukaryota; Metazoa; Chordata; Mammalia; Artiodactyla; Bovidae
Source: Ensembl
CACCCCUUGCACUGGGGGGCAAAAUCUUAAUCAGAGAAGUCCUGAUUCUCCAAUGCUUGAAGCAGGAGUAGAGCACUGUGAGUUUUAGAAUUCAUUCAGCUCAGGAAAAAAAAAAAGGUUUCUAAAGCUAAGAAGUCUCUUCGCUGUAAUAUUUAGACUUUUGGCACUUAUUCAGCCUUUUCUUACAUGCACACACUGGAAAACAGGAAGCUGGAGAAAGCCUUGGAGAAGGUUGUAGAAAAAGCCGUAUAUUACAGGAAGCUCUUUUCUCUGUGCCCAGAGGAGACGCAGAAGGCACCAUGUGAACACGGUGGAUUCUUUACUGCUGAGCCACCGGGGAAGAUCCCAGACAGAGAUGCAGCCUUCCUCAAAAGUAUCCUCAGGACUACUGACAGAUGAUGGCUGAUGAAACAGAAGUUUUGGUCACAAUCAACGUGCUGCCUUGAUUUUCUUUUAAAAUUUCCUGUGCCAGCAAUCAAGGUGGAUUCUUUACCAGCUGAGCUACCAAGGAAGCCCAAUCUUUCCUAUUCCCUACCAAAUGAAAGGAUAUUUGGCAUCUUCUGGAAGAGGAAUCAAGGGCAUGUCAAACAUGGGCCAACAAACAUUGUUGGUGCAAGUUCCUGUGCCCAACACAUGGUGAGUCCAAACAAAGAGAAAGGUCGGAGUUUGGAGCAGAGACAGGUUUAUUGCAGGCCCUGCUGAGUGAUGCAGAAUUGGUGCUUUCAAACUGUGGUGCUGGAGAAGACUCUCGAGAGUCCCUUGGACUGCAAGGAGAUCAAACCAGUCCAUCCUAAAGGAAAUCAGUCCUGAAUAUUCAUUGGAAGAAAUGAUGCUGAAUCUGAAGCUCCAAUACUUUGGCCACCUGAUGAGAAGAGCUGACUCACUGAAAAGACCCUGAUGCUGGGAAAGAUUGAAGGCGGGAGGAGAAGGGGGCAACAGAGGAUGAGAUGACUGGAUGACAUCGUUGACUAAAUGGACACGAGUUUGAGCAAACUCCGGGAGAUAGUGAAGGACAAGGAAGCAUGGCGUGCUGCAGCCCUUGGGGUUGCAAAGAGUCAGACAUGACUGAGCGACUGAACAUCAAAAUUCAAGGAGACAAGGGGCUUCUGCCCUAAAAAGCCCUGAAUUUCCUGAAGGUUUUCCACAAAGAAUUCUUAAAAGCCAGGGGAUGGAAGGGAGUCACAGGGUGUGUGAUCAGCUCAUGCACAAUUCUCUGACUGGCUGAUGGUGAGGGAACCAGGUAGUAUCACAGGGGUGAAUAUUAUCACUUUAGGCUCCAGGAGGGCUGGGGCGAUGUGUUCAUGGUCAGUGGUUAAUAACUUCCAUUUGGUAGGGGCUUGUAUCUGUUGCUCAGUCAUGUCCGACUCUUUGCGACCCCAGUACAUGGAAUUCUCCAGGCCAGAAUACUGGAGUGGGUAGCCUUUCCCUUCUCCAGGAGAUUUUCUCAAACCAGGGACUGAACCCAGGUCUCCCACAUUACAGGCGAAUUCUUUACCAGGUGAGCCACAAUGGAAGCCUGAUCUGCAAAACAACUCAGUAAAUUUGCAUCAAAUACUGUUAUCUAUUCAAUAGGUAUUUGAGAGAGGAGCUAAAGCAGAGGCUAUGUGGGGAGGCCUGUCAUGGAAGGCCCUGUGGGGUCCUGCUAGGUUACAAGAUCUGGCUCUACUUCCAAUGCAGAGAUUGCGGCUUGGAAAAUAGUUUGUAGGGAGUGGAGUCAGUGUGUUGAGUCAUGAAAGAGUCACUGGGAAGAGGAUAUGAAGAACAUGGACACUAAGAGGAAGAGAGUUUGUGAAAUGCAAAACAGAACAGAAUGAUGAAAAGCAGGGCUGGGCAGGGGUCUAGCUAAAUUCUAAUCUUAGCUAAUCUCUAAGAGAGGGGGCUUUCCUAGUGGCCCAGUGACUAAGAAUCUGUCUUCCAAUACAGGGGGACAGAGAUUGGAUCCCUGAUCGGGGAACUAAGCUUCCACAUGCUAUGGGGGAGGCAACUAAGCCCAUGUGCCACAGCUAAGGCCAGGUAUAGCCAAAAAUAAAUAGAUAAAUAUUUUAAGAAAAUGAUAAAUA